Molecule: ribosomal RNA, 1390 nt
Filed under: Zschokkella sp. 'aurorae' MHB-2018
Lineage: Eukaryota; Metazoa; Cnidaria; Myxozoa; Bivalvulida; Myxidiidae
Description: SSU rRNA
Rfam family: Eukaryotic small subunit ribosomal RNA
Source: RNAcentral
CCAAUCGGUGACAUGGUGGCGUUUGCUCAUUAUGCCACUGCUGUGGUGAGUCUGGAUAACUGUGCCGAUCGUAUGGCCUCGAGCCGGCGACAUUUCGAUUAAAUUUCUGCCCUAUCAACUWGUUGGUAAGGUAGUGGCUUACCAAGGUGAUAACGGGUAACGGGGAAUCAGGGUUYGAUUCCGGAGAGGGAGCCUGAGAAACGGCUACCACAUCCAAGGACGGCAGCAGGCGCGCAAAUUACCCAAUCCAGACACUGGGAGGUGGUGACGAGAAAUACCAGGUCGGUCCCAAAAGGAUUCGACACUGGAAUGAGUUUAAUUUAAAAAUUUAAACGAGAAACAACUGGAGGGCAAGUCUGGUGCCAGCAGCCGCGGUAAUUCCAGCUCCAGUAGUGUAUCCAAACGUUGCUGCGGUUAAAACGCUCGUAGUUGGACAAGAGAGUAACUUGGUGCGGGCGGGGAGUGUGAAGCUCUAUGUGUUUGCCUGUUGUGGUUGGUGUUGCUUGUAUUGUGUAAAAGCUUAUGAGUGCACUGGCGCUUCAGGAUGUAGCAUAGUAGUGCACUUGUCGACCAUGCUGCCAGGUUGCUUGUAAUGUUUCGUGAGAAUGGUGCAUGGUCUUUAUUGUAUUGUGUACUGUGUCUUACGUAGUGUGCCUUGAAUAAAUCAGAGUGCUCAAAGCAAGCUAUCGCUUGAAUGUUAAUAGCAUGGAACGAAUGUGAUGUGAGAGUGUGCUAGUGACUGGGCUUCGUGCACGGUCCUAGUGCAUAGCACCAACCGCGAAGCGGAACAUUGGUUGCCGACUUCGGGUGAGGAUUAAGAGGGGCAUUUGGGGGCAUUAGUAUUUGGCCGCGAGAGGUGAAAUUCUUGGACCGGCCAAGGACUAACAAGUGCGAAAGCAUUUGCCAAGUAUGUUCCCUUUAAUCAAGAACGAAAGUGAGAGGUUCGAAGACGAUCAGAUACCGUCCUAGUUCUCACCGUAAACGAUGCCAACCCGGGAUCAGUGCGGAUGAUAUGAUUUGGAUCCAGGUUGGUCCCCCUGGGAAACCUUGAGUGUUUAGGUUCCGGGGGGAGUAUGGUUGCAAGGCUGAAACUUAAAGGAAUUGACGGAAGGGCACCACCAGGGGUGGAGCCUGCGGCUCAAUUUGACUCAACACGGGAAAACUCACCUGGUCCGGACAUCGAUAGGAUUGACAGACUAAUAGAUCUUUCAUGAUACGGUGGGUGGUGGUGCAUGGCCGUUCUUAGUUCGUGGAGCGAUCUGUCAGGUUGAUUCCGGUAACGGACGAGACUACGUUCCCCAUUUGGGGAAGUGCAGGACAGGUGACGGCGGGAGCCCCCGGCCGGAAACGGGAGGGCGGCGACUGGUACGCCUGUUCCUGGACUGCGCGC